UGCUGGUUCAGUUUUUUGUUUGGGAUGAUUUCCAAUUUUACUUAUAGCUCAAAUUCUUACUGUUUUUCUGAACUCCUUUUUUUGUUUGAGUGAUGUUGUUUUCUCUUCAUGUAUGUGCUGAGAAUUCUGAUAGGAGAGUGACUAAUUUCUUCAGUAUUACAUUUGUAUUAUUACAUGCCAAUUUUCCAAUUACUAAUUUGACUCUCUUUCAGGUAUCUACUUCCUCAACAAGUGAGCAUGCCUGCAUUUAUCACUUGUGCAUACGCAACAUUUUUCAUGUUUAUCUUUUUCUCAAUCAUAUAAUUACUGGAAACAUAGAGAUAUCUUAUCCGGAGACUCCGGUAUCUUGGCGACAUCUUUUUUGGGGCAAAUUAUCUAUUUCGCGUUUACCUCUUCAUCUGCCAUGGCUGCCCAACCACACGAGAGGGUGAGCACUGCCAUGGCUAAACAACCACACGAAGCGAGGACCCAGUAUCUGCAGGUUUUCCCUACAAUCGUGCCCACCAUAUGUUUGUUGAAAUGCUUCCUUGCAGAUAUAGUUGAAACUUUUUCUCAACUGACCCAUUAAUUGUUCUUUCGUCUGUAUAUUCAGACCUGGAUCACCGGAUUAUUCAAUUCUUUUUGUGCUGCAGAACUACAGAAGUACUACUUGAUCAUUGCAGUGUCCUAUUCUGUGUAUACCAAUAUCUCUAAACAGCAGUUUCCAGUAUCUCUACAAUUUCCUAGUUGGACAGGAUGUUGCCAAAUACAGUAGAAAUCAUGGAGUGCGACAUUUUUAAGAGGCCACUUUUUGUCAAAAUAUGAAAGCUAUAUAAUGUGUACAUGGCGGUGUUACUGAAUGAAAGGAGGUAAUAUCUUUGCUCUUUCUCAA
Molecule: long non-coding RNA, 871 nt
Organism: Hordeum vulgare subsp. vulgare (domesticated barley)
Lineage: Eukaryota; Viridiplantae; Streptophyta; Magnoliopsida; Poales; Poaceae
Exons: 2
Source: RefSeq, a predicted model, not a curated record